UUUUCAAACACAGUUUUAAUCCAAAAUUACCAAAUAGAUUUAUGCAGUCUCUAUUGUAAAUUGCUUCAAGUUUUGUGAAACAUACUUGACAAGAACUCGGCCUGUCAGAAACAUUUUAAACAAUUUUUUUUUAAAGACAACAUUUGGUGUGUAUAUUCCUCUGGAGGCUUAUUUGAAUAAUGAACAACCAAUUCAGAAGUCUGUGAAUAACUGACCAGAUAUUAUGUGAAAAGUAGGUAAAUUUUUAUAUCCUGAUCCUGCAGGCACAUAUACAGGCAGUGAAAAAAGCAAAAAGGAAAUGAAAGAUGAGGAAAAUGGAUAAGGCUGCAGAUUCCUUACACAAUGGUAAAAAAGUUUCAGUUCAAGACUAAGCUCUAGGCCAAAUGCUGCUGUGCCAUAUGGAGGGGUGUACGUGACAAUUAAGAGAAGAAAAUAAUGCAGUAAGUGCAUAAAACAGUGCACAUGCAGAGAAGACGUGUUAUGGAAAUGCUGUCACUUCCAACAGAGCAUGCAGAUUGGCAAGUACUGGCCAUCUAUGUAAUGCUACAGGAAACCAACUGUGGGCGGAACACUACUGGACAAGAAGUGUGGUCUGUGUCAUGCAGACUUCUCCAGACCUUGUAUACAUUACAACUAUAGCCUGUGCUACAGGACUAAUUCAAGCCAUAAACUGAUGUUAAGAACUGCAGGAAUACCACAGAGUCUGCAAAAGGGUUUGAGUGACGUGAGAGUGGGAUUUGUUAGGGAGAAUGAACCAUAUUUCAGCACUGCCCACUAGAGCUUUCAUCUCCUUUUAUCAGCUUUAGGAUUUGAUCCAAAUACACUUUGUUCUUUUUCUUAUUUGUGAUUUUAUUUUCCUAUUCAUUUUGUGUUGAAUUUGUCAAGGCACUGUGAUGCUUAUGAAUUACUGUUAAAGAAAUAAACAAACAUUGCCUGCUUCAGUUUAAUUUAGUUUGGUUUUAAAUUUGAAUUAACCUUUUUCAAUUCCAAGGUGUUCAUAAUGCACAUUGUAUUUAGGGGAAAAAAAAACCCAAUCAUUUUAUGUUUUCUGAAAGCCCUACUUACAAUGGGUAUUUGAAACUAAAGAUAUAUGUUCUCCCUUUUCUUCUGGAAACUAAAACAGACGGUUAUUGUAUUAAUAAAUGUAUUUGUGCUUCAAGUUCCCUUCAUGGAAUAUAAGAAUUUCUAACAUAAAAAAAUGCGUUGUUCCUUCAGAUUAGGUCUGUGUCUUUGAAACACACUGUGUUAGAAUGUUAAUUGAGUUUGACAUAAGCAUGGAUAUAAAAUGCAUCAUGCCACUCAACUUACCAGCAGUGAAACUGAUUACCAAUUAUAAUUGUUCUCUGCAUGCUGACAGCAUACCAAGAUGGAGAUGUUGAAUAUUUCAGUUUGCAAUAUUAUCUGGGUUGUUUAAAGUACUGACUACGUGUCCUGAAACCAAUAGAGGUAAUUGGUAUGCAUGUAAGAGCUGGCAGGCAGAGCACAUCACUUAUUUAUAGACUCUUUUGAUGUAACUCUGUGGAAAAAAAACAUUAAUAAAAUAUGGUUCAAAGGAAAAUUUACACUCACCAUUAUAAUAUGACAUAAAGUACAAAUUAUUGUACCUAAAUAACUGUUUUCUAGUGAAUAGUGUUCCUUUAUCCUUUUAUUGAACUAGUCCACUGA
Molecule: long non-coding RNA, 1665 nt
Organism: Mauremys reevesii (Reeves's turtle)
Lineage: Eukaryota; Metazoa; Chordata; Testudines; Geoemydidae
Exons: 4
Source: RefSeq, a predicted model, not a curated record